RNAcentral lists this transfer RNA (72 nucleotides) under Bos taurus (domestic cattle). It matches the Rfam family "tRNA". From Rfam's summary of the family: Transfer RNA (tRNA) molecules are approximately 80 nucleotides in length. Their secondary structure includes four short double-helical elements and three loops (D, anti-codon, and T loops). RNAcentral also lists the same sequence under 4 other names. Lineage: Eukaryota; Metazoa; Chordata; Mammalia; Artiodactyla; Bovidae. The record is from Rfam by way of RNAcentral.
UCCCUGGUAGUCCAGUGGUAAAGACUCCGCCUGCCAAGGCAGGGGGCCCGGGUUCAAUCCCUGGUCGGGGAA